RNAcentral lists this unclassified non-coding RNA (152 nucleotides) under uncultured fungus. RNAcentral describes it as "sequence contains ITS1". Lineage: Eukaryota; Fungi. The record is from RNAcentral.
GUGUUUGUUAGACUGCACAGUGCAGUAUACACAUUCGUUGACGUGGUAGAUGUCACAGUUCACGGUGUAAAAAAGGAGGUAGGGCAGUAACCAUCGCUGGCCACCCGCACCCAGAUUCAAUAAUGAUCCUUCCGCAGGUUCACCUACGGAAA